CAGUCGCCGCGGUAAUACGAAGGGUGCAAGCGUUACUCGGAAUUACUGGGCGUAAGGGGUGCGUAGGCGGUUGUUUAAGUCUGUUGUGAAAUCCCCGGGCUCAACCUGGGAAUGGCAAUGGAAACUGGACGGCUAGAGUGUGUCAGAGGAUGGUGGAAUUCCCGGUGUAGCGGUGAAAUGCGUAGAGAUCGGAAGGAACAUCUGUGGCGAAGGCGACUAUCUGGGCCAACACUGACACUGAGGCACGAAAGCGUGGGGAGCAAACAGGAUUAGAUACCCCCGUAGUCCCUGUCUCUUAUAC
Molecule: ribosomal RNA, 301 nt
Filed under: uncultured bacterium
Lineage: Bacteria
Description: partial 16S ribosomal RNA
Rfam family: Bacterial small subunit ribosomal RNA
Source: RNAcentral